RNAcentral lists this ribosomal RNA (990 nucleotides) under Planctomycetota bacterium. RNAcentral describes it as "bacterial SSU rRNA". It matches the Rfam family "Bacterial small subunit ribosomal RNA", at positions 1 to 984 of the family's 1533-position model. The record is from RNAcentral. Lineage: Bacteria; Pseudomonadati; Planctomycetota.
AAAGUGAAGAGUUUGAUCCUGGCUCAGAACGAACGCUGGCGGCGUGGCUAAAGCAUGCAAGUCGAACGGACUCUUGCAAGGGGUAACCCGAGCUUGAGUUAGUGGCGGACGGGUGAGUAAUGCAUGGACAACGUACCCCAGACUCGGGGAUAACGGCGGGACUUCGGUUCCUUUGCGAAAGUGCCGUUAAUACCCGAUGACCCCGUAGGAUCGAAUGGUCCAGCGGGCAAAGCUCCGGCGGUCUGGGAGCGGUUCAUGUCCUAUCAGCUUGUUGGUGGGGUAAAGGCCUACCAAGGCAACGACGGGUAUCGGGCGUGAGAGCGUGACCCGACACAUCGGAACUGAGACACGGUCCGGACACCUACGGGUGGCUGCAGCAACGAAUAUUCCCCAAUGGACGCAAGUCUGAGGGAGCGACGCCGCGUGCAGGAAGAAGUCCCUCGGGAUGUAAACUGCUGUAUAGGGGUUAGGAAUACCGACCACCCCCUAAGAAAGCACCGGCUAACUCCGUGCCAGCAGCCGCGGUAAUACGGAGGGUGCAAGCGUUGUUCGGAAUUACUGGGCUUAAAGAGCGUGUAGGCGGAAUGGCAGGUGUCGGGUGAAAGCCCUCGGCUCAACCGAGGAACUGCCCGGCAAACCUCCAAUCUUGAGGCAGGCAGAGGUGACUGGAACAACUGGUGGAGCGGUGAAAUGCGUAGAUAUCAGUUGGAACGCCGGUGGCGAAAGCGGGUCGCUGGGCCUGUUCUGACGCUGAGACGCGAAAGCGUGGGGAGCAAACAGGAUUAGAUACCCUGGUAGUCCACGCCGUAAACGAUGCGCACUAGGUAUGGGAGACUCUGGCGUCGACCGUGCCGUAGGAAAACUGAUAAGUGCGCCGCCUGGGGAGUACGGCCGCAAGGCUAAAACUCAAAGGAAUUGACGGGGGCUCACACAAGCGGUGGAGCAUGUGGAUUAAUUCGAAGCAACGCGAAGAACCUUACCUGGGUUUGA